UACGGAGGGUGCAAGCGUUAUCCGGAUUCACUGGGUUUAAAGGGUGCGUAGGCGGGCAUGUAAGUCCGUGGUGAAAUCUCCGAGCUUAACUCGGAAACUGCCAUGGAUACUAUGUGUCUUGAAUGUUGUGGAGGUGAGCGGAAUAUGUCAUGUAGCGGUGAAAUGCUUAGAUAUGACAUAGAACACCAAUUGCGAAGGCAGCUCACUACACAAAUAUUGACGCUGAGGCACGAAAGCGUGGGGAUCAAACAGGAUUAGAUACCCUGGUAGUCCACGCCCUAAACGAUGAUUACUCGACAUACGUGAUACACAAUGUGUGUCUGAGCGAAAGCAUUAAGUAAUCCACCUGGGAAGUACGACCGCAAGGUUGAA
Molecule: ribosomal RNA, 372 nt
Filed under: uncultured bacterium
Lineage: Bacteria
Description: bacterial SSU rRNA
Rfam family: Bacterial small subunit ribosomal RNA
Source: RNAcentral